This 345-nucleotide small RNA is filed under the name Vigna angularis var. angularis. RNAcentral describes it as "Non-protein coding transcript". The record is from RNAcentral. Lineage: Eukaryota; Viridiplantae; Streptophyta; Magnoliopsida; Fabales; Fabaceae.
GGAACGCUCUCUGAGACGUGGGCGUUAUUUUGGACCGAAUAGAAGUAGGAUCUAAACUGAUUUAAGUGGAGUUAGUAAGUGAACCUGGAGUAGAAAGCUAUUAGAGGAAGCAACAUAACCUCGCAUUAGGGCGAACACUGCUAUCCAGGUAAGGGAAGCUUAUAUGUUUAAUUUAUACUGUAUGAUUAUAUGAUCGGAUGUGCAAGUAUGAACUGUAUGAUGUUUGAGCUGUAUGGACGACCACUGUUAUGGAAUCUGGUUUCUGAUUUUGAUUGAUCUGCAUGUUGGUUUGAUACGUAUGAAAAAUGGAUGUUUUAUUGUGUGAAGUAAAUCUGAAUGUUGAGG